GAUGAAGAACGCAGCGAAAGUGCGAAACGUAAUGUGAAUUGCAGAAUUCAGUGAAUCAUCGAAUCUUUGAACGCACAUUGCGCCCGCCAGUAUUCUGGCGGGCAUGCCUGUCCGAGCGUCAUUUCAACCCUCGAACCCCUCCGGGGGGUCGGCGUUGGGGACCUCGGGAGCCCCUAAGACGGGAUCCCGGCCCCGAAAUACAGUGGCGGUCUCGCCGCAGCCUCUCCUGCGCAGUAGUUUGCACAACUCGCACCGGGAGCGCGGCGCGUCCACGUCCGUAAAACACCCAACUUCUGAAAUGUUGACCUCGGAUCAGGUAGGAAUACCCGCUGAACUUAAGCAUAUCAAUAAGCGGAGGA
RNAcentral lists this unclassified non-coding RNA (359 nucleotides) under soil metagenome. RNAcentral's name for it is "partial contains 5.8S ribosomal RNA, internal transcribed spacer 2, and large subunit ribosomal RNA". The stretch from base 1 to 121 matches the Rfam family "5.8S ribosomal RNA", at positions 35 to 154 of the family's 154-position model. The record is from RNAcentral.